RNAcentral lists this long non-coding RNA (4359 nucleotides) under Xyrichtys novacula (pearly razorfish). Lineage: Eukaryota; Metazoa; Chordata; Actinopteri; Labriformes; Labridae. The record is from RNAcentral.
GAAUCUUUCUCUUGUUCCAUCUGUUUGGAUCUACUGAAGCAUCCGGUGACUCUUUCCUGUGGACACAGCUUCUGCAUGAUCUGUAUUCAGUCCCACUGGGAUACUGAGGAUGAGAAGAAGAUCUACAGCUGUCCUCAGUGCAGACGGACCUACAUACCGAGGCCUGUCCUGAUGAAAAACACCAUGUUGGCAGGUUUAGUGGAGGAACUGAAGAAGAGCAGACUUCAAGCUUCUCCUGAUGAUCCCUCUAAUGCUGGACCUGAUGAUGUGGCCUGUGAUUCCUGCAGUGGGAGAAAACUGAAAGCUGUCAAGUCCUGUCUGCAGUGUCUGGCUUCUUACUGCCAGAUUCACCUCCAGCCUCAUUAUGAAUCACCUACAUUUAAGAAACACAAGCUGGUGGAGCCCUCUUAGAAGCUCCAGGAGAACGUCUGCUCUCGUCAUGAUGAGGUGAUGAAGAUCUUCUGUCGCACUGACCAGCAGUCUAUCUGUUCCCUCUGCUGUUGGGACCAACACAAAGGCCACAACACAGUCCCAGCUGCAGCAGAAAGGACUGAGAGGCAGAAAGAUCUGGAGGAGAGUCGAGAAAACAUCCAGCAGAGAAUCCAGAACAGAGAGAAAGAUGUGAAGCUGCUCCAACAGGAGGUGAAGGCUAUCAACGGCUCUGCUGAUAAAGCUGUGGAGCACAGCCAGGAGAUCUUCAGCCAGCUGAUCCGUCUCAUGGAGAAACGCCGCUCUGAGGUGGAGCAGCAGGUCAGAUCCCAGCAGAAACGUGAAGUGAGUCGAGUCAAGGAGCUUCAGGAGAAGAUGGAGCAGGAGAUCACUGAGCUGAAGAGGAAAGACGCUGAUCUGCUGAAGCUCUCACUAACAGAGGACCACAACCAGUUUCUGCACAGCUACCCCUCACUGUCAGGACCGGGUCAACCUGCAGACUCAUCCAGAAUCAACAUCCGUCCUCUGAGAUACUUUGAGGAGGUGACAGCAGCUGUGUCAGAGGUCAGAGAUAAACUCCAGGAUCUUCUGACAGAGACGUGGACAAAGGUCUCACAGGCAGUGACUGACAUGGGUGUUUCACUCUCAGAACCAGCAGAACCAGAACCCAAGACCAGAGCUGGUUUCUUAAGAUAUUCACAAAGAAUCACACUGGAUCCAAACACAGCAAACAGAGAGCUGUUAUUAUCUGAUAGAAACAGAAGAGCAACAGGGACAAGACUACCACAGUCUUAUCCUGAUCAUCCAGACAGAUUCACUGAUUUUCUUCAGGUUCUGAGUAGAGAGAGUCUGACUGGACGUUGUUACUGGGAAGUGAAGGGGAGAGGGGUCCUGGUUUGUGUAACAGUCGCUUACAAGACUAUCAGCAGAGCAGGGGGCUCACGUGAUUGUUUAUUUGGAAACAAUGACAAAUCUUGGAGGUUAGACUGUUAUAAAGACAGGUAUGAAUUUUUACACAACAAAGUCAUCACUCGUGUUUCAGGUCCUCGGUCCUCCAGAGUAGGAGUGUACCUGGAUCACAAGGCAGGUAUUCUGUCCUUCUACAGCGUCUCUGAAACCAUGACUCUCCUCCACAGAGUCCAGACCACAUUCACUCAGCUGCUACAUGCUGGACUGUUGUUAUGCCAUGGAGGCUCUGCUGAGUUUAUUGAACUGAAAUAAACAGAAUUUUGAGUCCAUCAGAUCAAAAACAUGUAUUGAGAUCAUUGAACUCUUGAAAUGUUUUGGUUUGUACAUUUUUGUGAAUUAGUCUCACCAAAAACUCUCGGUUUAGUUCUUCAUUUUAGCUUUUUUAUUCUUUUCUAGAGAUGCUGAUUUGGUCGCAUCUUUAAGGACAGUGAUGGUGGAUAACUUUGAUUGUUUGCAUUUCUCAUUUUGAAAAAUCUUCACUUAAGUCUGAUAGCAACAACAACAUCAAGAUGAUCAUAUGUUCAAAUCACCUUCAGUUGGUGCAGAUGUUGAAGAUCUGAGACUUUAGAAAAAGUGACGUCAAAAUAAGGAAAGAAAGAUGAAAAAGCACAACCUUAUUUCCCGUUCCAAAUCCAACUGCUUUCUCUGUUAGCUGAAUAUUUGCAUUAAUGUCAUUGAUGGAUAUUUCUGUCUGCUUCUGUUGGAUCAGUGUGUUUGUAUAGGCAUCUAAAAUAAUACUUUUGGCAGAUCAACAUGUUGUUAUGAGAUUUUCAAUCACUCUACUACUAAUAAUCACAUUCAUUUGUCUGACUGUUUUUAUGUUUCUGACUCAGCUCAGAUUGUGGUGAAGUCUCUGAUUUUUGGUGAAAACAAUUAAAAUCAUCAAACUGAGUCACUGAAAACACCUCUCCUGUUUUUCUUUAGUUUGUCUGUUUCUGCUGGAUGUCAUGUUACCGGUCCAUCUGUGUCAGGGAUUCAUGUGAUCUGCAGGAUUUUCAUGAUGUGUUCACUCAGAGGUUUUACAGGUCCCAGAUGUGAGUCCUGCAACUGGAUCAGGUUUUCUGUAAAUUAGAGGAAAAAUCAUGAGAGAGAUAUAAGGUGCAUAUAUAUUCAUAUAUAUGUGUGUUUGUGCUGAUUGACUUGUAGUUAAACUGCACUUUAAGUUGGUAUCUUCUUGAACAGAUCACAACUUGACAGCAUCUUAAAACAGACUGAACACAAACACAUAUACGCACUAACACUGUUCUCUUAAAGGAAUAGACAAGGGUAAAGUUCACAACGCCGCUCCUCUUCCUGGGUUAAACUAGAGCCGGAUUUCCCCUCCCUCGUCUCUCACACAGCACACUCCACUCUGCACACACACUUCCUUGUUCCCUCCCCUUCAGAUCUACAAAUGAGGUUGGGUGUAACCAGCAUGUGCUGAUCUAAUCCUGCUGACACACACAUGUUGUUGAGAUAAGAGCUCAGACUUGUUAACUUCUGGGAAGAAGGAAGUUCAGUCAGUCAGUCGACACUGAGUGUUGAAAUGGCGCAGACAGGAGUUCAGCUGGACCGUGAAUCUUUCUCUUGUUCCAUCUGUUUGGAUCUACUGAAGGAUCCGGUGACUCUUUCCUGUGGACACAGCUUCUGCAUGAUCUGUAUUCAGUCCCACUGGGAUACUGAGGAUGAGAAGAAGAUCUACAGCUGUCCUCAGUGCAGACGGACCUACAUACCGAGGCCUGUCCUGAUGAAAAACACCAUGUUAGCAGGUUUAGUGGAGGAACUGAAGAAGAGCAGACUUCAAGCUGCUCCUGAUGAUCCCUCUGAUGCUGGACCUGAUGAUGUGGCCUGUGAUUCCUGCAGUGGGAGAAAACUGAAAGCUGUCAAGUCCUGUCUGCAAUGUCUGGCUUCUUUCUGCCAGAUUCACCUCCAGCCUCAUUAUGAAUCACCUACAUUUAAGAAACACAAGCUGGUGGAGCCCUCCAAGAAUCUCCAGGAGAAUGUCUGCUCUCGUCAUGAUGAGGUGAUGAAGAUGUUCUGUCGCACUGAUCAGAAGUCUAUCUGUUCCCUCUGCUGUUGGGACCAACACAAAGGCCACGACACAGUCCCAGCUGCAGCAGAAAGGACUGAGAGGCAGAAAGAUCUGGAGGAGAGUCGAGAAAACAUCCAGCAGAGAAUCCAGAACAGAGAGAAAGAUGUGAAGCUGCUCCAACAGGAGGUGGAGGCUAUCAACGACUCUGCUGAUAAAGCUGUGGAGCACAGCCAGGAGAUCUUCAGCCAGCUGAUCCGUCUCAUGAGGAAACGUCACUCUGAGGUGGAGCAGCAGGUCAGAUCCCAGCAGAAACGUGAAGUGAGUCGAGUCAAAGAGCUUCAGGAGAAGCUGCAGCAGGAGAUCACUGAGCUGAAGAGGAAAGACGCUGAUCUGCUGAAGCUCUCACUCACAGAGGACCACAACCAGUUUCUGCUCAGCUACCCCUCACUGUCAGGACCGGGUCAACCUGCAGACUCAUCCAGGAUCAACAUCCGUCCUCAGAGAUACUUUGAGGAGGUGACAGCAGCUGUGUCAGAGGUCAGAGAUAAACUCCAGGAUCUUCUGACAAAGACGUGGAAAAAGGUCUCACAGGCAGUGACUCAAGUGGAUGUUUCACUGUCAGAACCACCAGAACCAGAACCCAAGACCAGAGCUGAUUUCUUAAGAUAUUCACAAAGAAUCACACUGGAUCCAAACACAGCAAACAGAGAGCUGUUAUUAUCUGAUAGAAACAGAAGAGCAACAUAUACAGAAGAACAACAGUCUUAUCCUGAUCAUCCAGACAGAUUCACUUUUUGGAUCCAGGUCCUGAGUAGAGAGAGUCUGACUGGACGUUGUUACUGGGAGGUGGAGUGGAGAGAGGAUGAGGUUGGUGUAGCAGUCUCAUACAAGACUAUCAGCAGAGCAGGGAACUCAAGGGAUUGUUUUUUUGGAGACAAUGACAAAUCUUG